GAUGAACGCUGGCGGCGUGCUUAACACAUGCAAGUCGAACGAAGCACCUUGAUUCGAUUCUUCGGAUGAAGAUCUUGGUGACUGAGUGGCGGACGGGUGAGUAACGCGUGGGUAACCUGCCUCAUACAGGGGGAUAACAGUUAGAAAUGACUGCUAAUACCGCAUAAGACCACAGCACCGCAUGGUGCAGGGGUAAAAACUCCGGUGGUAUGAGAUGGACCCGCGUCUGAUUAGGUAGUUGGUGGGGUAACGGCCUACCAAGCCGACGAUCAGUAGCCGACCUGAGAGGGUGACCGGCAACAUUGGGACUGAGACACGGCCCAAACUCCUACGGGAGGCAGCAGUGGGGAAUAUUGCACAAUGGGGGAAACCCGGAUGCAGCGACGCCGCGUGAGCGAUGAAGUAUUUCGGUAUGUAAAGCUCUAUCAGCAGGGAAGAAAAUGACGGUACCUGACUAAGAAGCACCGGCGAAAUACGU
This 478-nucleotide ribosomal RNA is filed under the name uncultured bacterium. Its description in RNAcentral is "partial 16S ribosomal RNA". It matches the Rfam family "Bacterial small subunit ribosomal RNA", at positions 28 to 506 of the family's 1533-position model. The record is from RNAcentral.